RNAcentral lists this ribosomal RNA (433 nucleotides) under uncultured bacterium. Its description in RNAcentral is "partial 16S ribosomal RNA". It matches the Rfam family "Bacterial small subunit ribosomal RNA", at positions 29 to 507 of the family's 1533-position model. The record is from RNAcentral.
AACGAACGCUGGCGGCAUGCCUAACACAUGCAAGUCGAACGAGACCUUCGGGUCUAGUGGCGCACGGGUGCGUAACGCGGGGGAACCUGCCCUUAGGUUCGGAAUAACUCCCCGAAAGGGGUGCUAAUACCGGAUAAUGUCUUCGGACCAAAGAUUUAUCGGCUUUGGAUGGGCCCGCGUUGGAUUAGCUUGUUGGUAGGGUAAAAGCCUACCAAGGCGACGAUCCAUAGCUGGGAUGAGAGGAUGAUCAGCCACACUGGGACUGAGACACGGACCAGACUCCUACGGGAGGAAGCAGUGGGGAAUAUUGGACGAUGGGCGAAAGCAUGAUCCAGCAAGGCCGCGUGAGUGAUGAAGGCGUUAGGGUUGUAAAGCUCUUUUAACCGGGAUGAUAAUGACAGUACCGGGAGAAUAAGCUCCGGCUAACUACGUG